CUGUGUUCUCUUCUGAAUUAACUUAAUUAGUUUAGAUGAAUACCAAAGAAAUGGUAGGCAUCAGGAUUGCGGUACAUAGGCCGAACUCGAUCCGCUGUGAGAGGAUCAAGUAUUUCUUUAGUUAGAUAGAUAAUUCUAGUCCCAUAAGUGAAAGGGUGAUGUGUGCAUUUGAUGAUAAAAGAUGAAAAAUAAAAAAUCAUCUGAUUUUUUAUAGCUAUAUAAAUGAUUAAAUUAAUUAGUAUAAAAUUAAUAAUGUACUCUAGCACUACAGCAAAACCUUGGAUGCCGUUGCUCACAUUCAUAUGGAAAAACCCUAGCUUGUCCUCAACUCAAUGGCCUAGACCAAGAGAACUGUCGGGUUAGGAAGCUCACACUUCUGAAAAAGAAUAAGAUAUGAAUGUUCAUUUUGCAUUACACUUAGUUACCACAUGUUUUUAUACCGUCGCGUCAACAUAAUUUGCUAUUUAAUUUUCAAUCAUCUGCCGUGGCUGAUGAUCACCACAAUUCCAUUCAUUGUUCAAAUGGCUCGUGGACAUGCCUCUUG
RNAcentral lists this long non-coding RNA (544 nucleotides) under Oryza brachyantha (malo sina). RNAcentral's name for it is "long non-coding RNA (OBRA_LNC001318)". The record is from RNAcentral. Lineage: Eukaryota; Viridiplantae; Streptophyta; Magnoliopsida; Poales; Poaceae.